This 253-nucleotide ribosomal RNA is filed under the name uncultured bacterium. RNAcentral describes it as "partial 16S ribosomal RNA". It matches the Rfam family "Bacterial small subunit ribosomal RNA", at positions 524 to 776 of the family's 1533-position model. The record is from RNAcentral.
UACGAAGGGGGCUAGCGUUGCUCGGAAUCACUGGGCGUAAAGGGUGCGUAGGCGGGUCUUUAAGUCAGGGGUGAAAUCCUGGAGCUCAACUCCAGAACUGCCUUUGAUACUGAAGAUCUUGAGUUCGGGAGAGGUGAGUGGAACUGCGAGUGUAGAGGUGAAAUUCGUAGAUAUUCGCAAGAACACCAGUGGCGAAGGCGGCUACCUGGACCGAUAUUGACGCUGAGACGCGAAAGCGUGGGGAGCAAACAGG